Haliotis rubra (blacklip abalone) is the source of this 186-nucleotide long non-coding RNA. RefSeq lists it as uncharacterized. The transcript has 2 exons. NCBI's taxonomy places the organism in Eukaryota, Metazoa, Mollusca, Gastropoda, Lepetellida, Haliotidae. The record is from RefSeq and is a predicted model, not a curated record.
ACACUAUCAGCGUUAUCAUGCACAGACCCACGGGGAGUAUAUACACUCGGACCAACACAUCCGAUGGAUUAUGGCAAAGUGACUUACUAAACGUGUAAGACAAGAUGAAAUGUAGUGGGCACAAGCCGCCGAUGCCAAGUCUGAUAAUUAUCAUUCUGGUGAAUGUGGUUCUGCUCAGCCAAUACG